RNAcentral lists this ribosomal RNA (1047 nucleotides) under Triticum aestivum (bread wheat). RNAcentral's name for it is "partial small subunit ribosomal RNA". The record is from RNAcentral. Lineage: Eukaryota; Viridiplantae; Streptophyta; Magnoliopsida; Poales; Poaceae.
AUGAACCUUCUCCUUGCCUUGGAGCUGCUGCUGCUCCUGCUUGCCUUGCCACGCCUUUCUUCUACCUCAAAUUCCACACAUUCGCCACUGGAUCAGCAGGCAGAAGCGCUUCUCCAAUGGAAAUCUAGCCUAAGCGGUUGGUGCUAUGAUUACCUGGACACAUGGACAAAGGGAACCAGCCCCUGUGACUGGACCGGCGUUGCCUGCAGCAGCGCAAUGCUGCCUCGUGGCCGUGACCAGGGUGAUGCUGCCCUAGCUGUGUCCAACAUUUCGCUUACAUACUGUGGCUUUAAUGGCAGGUUGGACAGGCUCCACUUUCUAGACUUACCCCAUCUUGUUUAUCUGGACCUCCGUGGCAACUCUCUCUGGGGCUCAAUCCCAUCAAGCAUCGGUGUUCUUGGCAAGCUCACUCACUUGGAUCUAUCCAACAAUGGCCUGAACGGAUCUAUCCAACAAGCAUCCCUAGACUUGCCCCAUCUUGUCUAUCUGGACCUCAGUGGCAACUCUCUCUGGGGCUCAAUCCCAUCAAGCAUCGGUGCUCUUGCCAAGCUCACUCACUUGGAUCUAUCCAACGAUGGCCUGAACGGAUCUAUCCAACAAGCAUCCCUAGACUUGCCCCAUCUUGUCUAUUUGAAGAUUGGUAACAACCUCCUUUCGGGCAGAAUCCCUUCAAGCACUGGGGCUCUUGCCAAGCUCGCAUACUUGGAUCUGUCUGUCAACAAUCUUGAUGGAUAUCCCAACAUUCAUAGACUUGCCCAAUCUUGUGUAUCUGAGCUUCAGUCGCAAUGCUCUCUCGGGCCCAAUCCCACCAAGCAUUGGCACUCUUACCAAGCUCGUAGUCUUGGAUCUAUCCUUCAAUGGCUUGAACGGAUCUAUCCCAACAUCCAUAGACGUGCCCAAUCUUGUGUAUCUGAACUUCAGCCGCAACGCUCUCUCGGGUCCAAUCCCAUCAAGCAUUGGCGCUCUUACAAAGAUCAUGGUCUUGGAUCUAUCCUUCAAUGGCCUGAACGGAUCUAUCCCAACAUCCCUAGACUUGCCCCAUCUUGA